Meriones unguiculatus (Mongolian gerbil) is the source of this 1767-nucleotide long non-coding RNA. RefSeq lists it as uncharacterized. The record is from RefSeq and is a predicted model, not a curated record. The transcript is spliced from 3 exons. NCBI's taxonomy places the organism in Eukaryota, Metazoa, Chordata, Mammalia, Rodentia, Muridae.
UUACAACUCACAACAGCAGCAGAAUUACAGUUACGAAGGAGCAAUGAAAAUAAGUUUAUGGUUGGGGCUCAACCCAGCACGAAGAACCAUAGUAAAGGAUCGCAGCACGAGGGAGGUUGAGAGCCACGGCUGACAGCAUUGCUCAACUCGCACCCCACUCUACUUAGAAGUUCAAUUUACACAUAGAGCUACAUUCAAGGUCCUUAUGGUGGCCUUUGCAGUCACACCCAGUUUACCCCUUACUCAGUUAGUUGGGUUAGUGUUCAUGAACGUUCCCUCUGUCCUGCCCUGUCUCACUCGGUGGCUCCAGUAAAGGUCUGACUCCGAUUAAAGGCCACGUCCUUUACGACUGCUGUCAGACCCUGACCUGCAUUUACUGACCUUAUCUGUUCACCCUACUUUGGAGGUUGUGUUUUGUCUCUUCCCCUAACUUGUAAGCCCUAGAGGGCAGGGACCAAGCCCCACCCCUUUCCAUCAUCCUCCCCCCCCCAGUAUCUUAUCUGAGGUGAACAGGUGACACUGAACUUGUUUAUAGUGUGACAGGUUUCACCUUCUUAGUAUUCCAGAGCUGCAGCCCAGACUUCUCGUUUUCCUCUUGGAGAAUAAGAAAUCUUUGAGAGAGUGUGGCUGGGUGCGACCAUUCUGGAGUAAUGGCAACACGAGGCGUUCCUCCCACGACCGGUGUAACCGCUUUCAUGUUUGUUGCUGUUGCUUCUCUGUUGUCUUCCCUCGUGGAUGAGACAAAUGACCGUUCCUUUCCAAUCCCGUGGAAAUCAAUUCAUCCAACAAUAGCUAUUGAUUCUCCAUCAGAAGUCAAACCUGGAUGGGUGCAGACCCAGAGUGCCUUGUGUAAAGCACACACCUCCUCAAGCCGUGGCUCUGUGACCCCAGGCUUCUGUAGCUAUGUGCCUGAAGAAUGAAGCUUAUGUUCCUUGACCUGGUUGCAGCUGACCUGAACAGGGUGUGUUCCUGCUUUCUUCCUAGACCCCAGGCCCCAGUCGUAUCAGAGCCAGCCAUAGAAGGACACAUAGGCCUUUAUAAAUCAUACAAAUCGACCACAGGCUUUGCUCUCUCCAACACUCUCCUCUUUUUCCUUAGUUCUUUCCAUCCUUAAUGCCACUCAGUUGUCACUUCCCUGCUUAAGAGCGCUUAAUCCACACUCCCUUUGGCCGGAGAGAAUCCUUCCCACUUCAUGAGUGGCCUAAUAGACAGGCCCUUGCAAUGCUCAGCUUAUUUGAGUGUCUCCCUUACAAGGGGCUCCCUCAUGAGCACCUCUGCAUGGAGAGUAGCUUAUUUGUGGCCUGAGGGCAUAAGAACAGUCUGGCACACAGCAGGUGCUCAAUAAACUGUUGAAUGAGUGUGUCACCCAUGGUCUCUUCUGGUUUGGCCAGUGACCUGCACAUGUGUGAAUCAGUGGCUUUGACAAUACAGCAGUGGCCAGCACAACAAAGAGUACAACUGUGCUCUUCAGAGCAGCGAGUUUUAGACAUUUGCGCUAAUGCUAAUCGGAUGCAGAUGAUAAAAUAUUUCAAGACCACAUUUUCCUUGACAAUGUUUCUGUGUGCUCUGCAGCUGAAGACGGUUGGGAAGUUCAAAUAAAUGAUUAGAGCAUGUAAAACAGACCCAUUAAGUAAUCUGGAUCAUUUCCUGCAGAAGAGAAACUUGAAAAAAAAAAACAACUUAAUAAUAGUUCUUAAUGAAAGGGAAGAUUGUGCUCCAAGGAUGGCUAAGUCUUUCCAUGAAGACAAAGAGAAGGCCAAAGCUGAA